Non-coding RNA from Paramisgurnus dabryanus, 2206 nucleotides. The record is from RefSeq and is a predicted model, not a curated record. NCBI's taxonomy places the organism in Eukaryota, Metazoa, Chordata, Actinopteri, Cypriniformes, Cobitidae.
UCAGCUUGCCAUGUACUUGAUGCUACCACUACAGAAGUGCAACUACAUAGACAGUAUGUCUGGUGUAGCAUGCCAUGGUGAACCGCCAUUUCGGGUGACCCUGAAACCUGGGGGACUGGAGUCAUUUUGGAAUGGUUAUGCCCCUUUGGACACACUCUGUGGAAAUGGAACUCACAGCCAGUUUUGAAGUUCGGCAUGCAAGGGGGUGACUUCAUGCUGGCUACCAAUAUUCUUCUGUCUGGCAACAACUACAGGAAGAUUGCCCUCCUCUUUCAAUUUAUGAAAAUGGCAGUGGUUGCUGAGGGGACUUUCUUCCGAAUUCAAGACGCUUAUUGUAUUGAUCCUGUCCAGGAAUUUUGGGAAAAAAAUAGGGCAAACAUCAUAGACAGGUUGCGUCAGGAAGAACAUGUCGUUGUCCUAGGUGAUGGCAGAAUGGACUCUCCAGGACACUGUGCACAAUACUGCACUUACACAACUCUUGAGCAAGAGUCAAGAGACAUUGUGCACAUUGUCACCGUAGACAAGCGAGAAACAAAAAGGAAUUCCGUGAUUAUGGAGAAGGAGUGCUUCAUCAGGACCAUGGAUGCACUAAUCAAGGAAAUUCCUGUCAGAGAAGUUGUUACAGAUGCCCACCCACAAAUAUCUGCCUUGCUUAAUCCUGAACGUGGACGCUACAAAGGCAUUCAACACUCACUCGACAUAGGGCAUGCUGCCAAAAAUCUUGGAAAGAAGUUACGACGGGCUGGCACCAUAAAAAAUCAGAAUUCAAUUCUGGUUUGGAUGAAGGACAUCGUGAACCACUUUUGGUAUUGCUGCAAACAAGCAUUGACAGAGGAGCAGUUCAAGAUGAUGUGGCAUGGAGUCUUGCACCAUGUCCGCAACCAACAUUCAUGGGCAACUGGAUGCUGUGAACAUGAGCCUCUGGAUGAAGGAAGCCAAAACAAGCCAUGGAUCCAGCAAGGUUCAGCAGCUCAUAAGGCACUUACAGCAAUUGUGCUUGACAAGCGCUGGUUGAGCCAGGUGAAGAAGUUCAUAAACUUUAGGACCACAUCUGAUUUGGAAAGCUUCAAAAUCAUAUUCUAAUGUAUGCGGCAAAGCGCUUCGCCUACAGCCCACCUGUAUACAAGACGCGAGUUUUGCUUGCCGCCUUAGAUUACAAUAACCACAAUCAUCGCCUGCCAGCCCGUAACAAGGAUGGACACAAAAUAUAUAGAAGAUACUUCAACAAAAAAUCAAAAAUCUGGAGUGUCUACACCACAAAGGAAAAGAAGCAGUAUAGCUACAUACAAGACCUUCAGAAGGCCAUUCUGGGGAGAAGAAUUCGAAGUGGGAGAGGCCUUCCCCGCAAACAGAUGCUCAGGUCCGAUGACCCAAGGCGCAUGGGUUUGCUUGCUGCUGUACCGCCAACACCCACUGCAGAACUUGUGCAGGACCACAUUGAAAGAGGAGACAUUCCUCCACAGUGACUGUUGUACUGUAAUCUGGUUCUUGUAAAUAUUUGUAAUAAAUGAUGGACAAUAUUGAACUUUUCAAAAAAAUUCUUUAUUUAUAUGCAAAAACUAAAUAAGUUAAAAUAAAUAAAAGUAAAGUGCACAAAUGCUGAGGUAACAGAGAACCAAACAUACAAUUCCCAAAUGUUUAUAAAAUAACAUGCUGUUUAGAAAUACCUAUAUAACUAUUUACAAAUGGAUAAUAAAAAAAAACUAUUCAAGGCGGCGCACCCGGAAUCCAGUGUAUUGGCCUCUUGGGUCAGGGAACUUGAUUCGGACCUUCCAUACACAACAGCUGGGUAUGACAACUCUGUUGCCCACACCCAGGCGGCCAUGCUGCCACAGCACAUACUGUCUGUAGGCAGCAUGUCUGUACUGACGCUGUUCAACACCCGGCUCCUGGCUGUCAUCAACCGCAAAAAUGUCAUUCCAGGCCGCACGGGCCAGCCGUAACACACCCUCAUCCAACACAUAGAACUCCAUAUGUGCGGAGUUGCUUAUGCAAUUAGCUGGUGUCUGCUUACAACAAAGCCUUUCCAGGUCUGUGGUCAUUUCUCUACAAUUGGUGCAAGUGCACCAAUGCAGGACAUCUCCGACAGGGUCAGGGCUAUGUGGUAUCUCAAGCAUGGCCAUGACAUCGAACAUGAGACCUGGCAAUCUUGUGAGUAUAGAAUUCAACAGCUUGUCCUUCUGGUCAUACUCAAGCGAUUGCAGUU